CCUACGGGAGGCAGCAGUGGGGAAUAUUGCACAAUGGGGGAAACCCUGAUGCAGCGACGCCGCGUGAGUGAAGAAGUAUUUCGGUAUGUAAAGCUCUAUCAGCCGGGAAGAAAAUGACGGUACCUAAUUAAGAAGCCCCGGCGAACUACGUGCCAGCAGCCGCGGUAAUACGUAGGGGGCAAGCGUUAUCCGGAUUUACUGGGUGGAAAGGGAGCGGAGACGGCAGCACAAGUCUGGCGUGAAAUGCCGGGGCUUAACCCCGGAACUGCUUUGGAAACUGUGCAGCUAGAGUGCAGGAGAGGUGAGUGGAAUUCCUAGUGUAGCGGUGAAAUGCGUAGAUAUUAGGAGGAACACCAGUGGCGAAGGCGGCUUACUGGACUGUAACUGACGUUGAGGCUCGAAAGCGUGGGGAGCAAACAGGAUUAGAUACCCCUGUAGUC
This 440-nucleotide ribosomal RNA is filed under the name uncultured bacterium. RNAcentral describes it as "partial 16S ribosomal RNA". It matches the Rfam family "Bacterial small subunit ribosomal RNA", at positions 338 to 795 of the family's 1533-position model. The record is from RNAcentral.